UAGAGUUUAGCCAUUGGAAAUUGAAGGGAAGCUUCCUAAAGGGAUUUGGGUUUGUAUUUAUGUAGACAGAGCCCGGGAUGGGACCCGGGGGGUGGCCAUGGGUUUUAUGUGGUCCAGCGUUGAACGAAGGGUUUUCCAUAUCUAAACCUGAUGUGGUCUUCCAGUUAGAACAAGGCAAAGAGCUGUGGAUUCUUAAUCUGCCAAGAAUUAAAGAACAACAGUUGCCAAAAAAUUCUUCAGACUGGGAGAGCCAACCUGAACAUCCACAAGUCAUCUCCAAAGUUAAACAUUUCUGAAGAAAUAGAAUGACCAGGGAUAGUAAUGGUUCCUUUAGACCUUGCAUUUGGUGGAAUCUAUGUACCUGAAUGCACAUUGGAUAGAAAGAAAGAAAACUCUAAAGGCAAGACAUGGGAAACAUCCCUUUUCCAUGAGAGAGAUUUCAGUCAAGUGUUAAUCACCUACCAACAAAACUGCACUAAUGAUAGAGGCCAUGAAUGUCACACAUGUGGGAAAUCCUUCUUUGACUGCUCAUGUCUUACCAAACAGCAGAGAAGUCACAGUAGAGAGAGUUCCUUUGAAUGUAAGGAAUGUGGGAAACUGUUUAGUUGGAAAUGUAAUCUUACUCGACAACAGCUAGCACAUACUGGAGAGAAACCUUAUGUAUGUAAAGAUUGUGGGAAAGCCUUCUUGAACCAUUCAUAUCUUACUAUAUAUAAGUGAAUUCAUACUGGAGAAAAGUCAUAUAACUGUGAAUGUGGAAAAGCUUUCUCUAAACAUUUGUCUCUUACUAAACAUGAGAGAAUUCAUACUGGAGAGAAGCCUUAUAAAUGUAAUGAAUGUGGGCAAACUUUCAGACAUAGAAGUGGCCUUAUGAGACAUCAGCUGAUUCACACAGGAGAAAGUCCCUAUAAAUGUAGUGAAUGUGGGAAACCGUUCUUAAAUCCCUCAUCCCUUGGUGUUCAUAAGAAAACUCAUACUGGAGAGAAGCCCUAUGAAUGUGAUGAAUGUGAGAAAGCCUUUGCUAGACAUUCAUCUCUUUCUCUACAUCAAAGGAUUCAUACUGAAGAGAAGCCCUAUGAAUGUGAUAAAUGUGGGAAAGCCUUCUCUAAACAUUCGUCCCUCGCUGAACAUGAAAGAAUUCAUACUGGAGAAAAACCUUAUAAAUGCAGUGAAUGUGGGAAAGCUUUCUGACAUAGAACUGGCAUUAUGAGACAUAGGAUGACUCACACGGUGGAAAAUCUCUAAAAACGUAAUAAAUGUGGAAAACACUUCCUAAAUUCUUCAUCCCUUACCGUUCAUGAAAAUUUGCCCUGGAAGAAAAGCUCUGUGAAUGUAGGAAAAUCUCUAGACAUUCAUCUGUUUCUCUAUAUCAAAGGACCUCAACUAGAGAGAAAUUUUAUCUAUAAAAUAUGUGGGAGAAAACUUUUUGUAGCAGCAUCAAAGAUAGUAAGCCAGAGAAAAAUCCUGAGAAUAUAAUGAUCUUGGGCAGUUUGUUAGAGAAUCAGAGUAUGGACAAUAAACCCCACAAAGGUUAAAAAUUGAUUUUAUUCUAAAUCUCAUAUCUAUUUCCCUUUCUGGCUAAUUUUCAUUUUCUCUUUUUAGCUACCAAACUUGUUGAGUGUGUCAUCUAUGUGUACUACAUGAAUCUGACCUCAGAUACUCCAAUACAAAAAUGUGACUUCUAGGAUACCCUGCCUUACAUAUCUACUUAAAUUUGUUAAUGCACAACACAUCGAAUACACAAAUAUUUGAUUUGGGGAUGUGCAGGAAGAUUGAGGAGUUAAAAGUUGAAAGAGAAUCUAUCUCUUCAAUACUUCCCUAAAAAACAUAAGUAGAAAUACCAACAAUAGAUGCAGUAGUCUAGAAACCCUGAAAAGAACAUAGUUUUUUAAAAAAAAGACACACUAAAAGUAAACUUUGAUCAAGUUGAAUAAAAGUUAUGGAUUCAGAGGAGAUGAAGCCAAAAUGAAAAAGAAAAUGAUUUAAUCCUGUGUGUGGCCUCAGAAACAAAGCUGAAAUUACUGUGAUACAUCAAAGUAUAAUAUAAACAUGAAAUUACUUAAAGAAGAAACUAAAAGCUACUAAGUAUUCCCAGGAAUGAUGACUAGCUUGGAAAUAUCAACGGAGAACAUAAGUGGAACAAUGUCCCUCACAAAAUGAUAGCAGUGUGCAAGGCAGACUUAAUGGGAAAACUUUAAGACAGGAAGACCACUUAGGAAGUUAAAGUAGGUUGGCCAUGGAAAGAGGAGACCUGAUUUUGGAUCCCACUUUAAAUUCUAGAGUAUGUCUCCAGAUAGUGAUGUCUCUCACAAAAAUGAUGAUUUUACUUUAAGACAGAAUAGCUGAAACAAUACCCAAAUAAACAAAAAAACCAAACCCAGAAUUACUCAACUAGAAAAGUUCUGGAAGCUUUGCCAGCAAAGGUGAAGGACCGAGACAACAGAUCAUGGAAACAAAUCGAAAACUAUCGGGCUCUUGAAAAUCCUGUGAAAAUAGACAUAUUCCGAGUCUGAUCACAAUAUUUCAGGAAAAUCUACAAAAAAUUUUUUCUCUAAAAUACUGAAAAUAAGGAUCAGAUUGCUGCUCAAAAGAAUUAAGAUGUCAGCAGAAGUUAAUAGGUUCAACACACUGAAAAGGCGAAACACAGCAUGCAUCCUCCAAUAAAGUCCUUCUCAUUAGACUGUGAGCUUCUAGAGAACAGAUUCUGAGUUUUUUUGUUUGUUUUUUUGUUUUGUUUUUGCCUUUC
This is a long non-coding RNA of Vombatus ursinus (common wombat), 2746 nucleotides long. RefSeq lists it as uncharacterized. The transcript has 3 exons. Lineage: Eukaryota; Metazoa; Chordata; Mammalia; Diprotodontia; Vombatidae. The record is from RefSeq and is a predicted model, not a curated record.